RNAcentral lists this ribosomal RNA (1359 nucleotides) under uncultured bacterium. RNAcentral describes it as "bacterial SSU rRNA". It matches the Rfam family "Bacterial small subunit ribosomal RNA", at positions 28 to 1381 of the family's 1533-position model. The record is from RNAcentral.
GAUGAACGCUAGCUACAGGCUUAACACAUGCAAGUCGAGGGGCAGCAUUUCAGUUUGCUUGCAAACUGGAGAUGGCGACCGGCGCACGGGUGAGUAACACGUAUCCAACCUGCCGAUAACUCGGGGAUAGCCUUUCGAAAGAAAGAUUAAUACCCGAUGGCAUAAUUAGACCGCAUGGUCUUAUUAUUAAAGAAUUUCGGUUAUCGAUGGGGAUGCGUUCCAUUAGGCAGUUGGUGAGGUAACGGCUCACCAAACCUUCGAUGGAUAGGGGUUCUGAGAGGAAGGUCCCCCACAUUGGAACUGAGACACGGUCCAAACUCCUACGGGAGGCAGCAGUGAGGAAUAUUGGUCAAUGGGCGCAGGCCUGAACCAGCCAAGUAGCGUGAAGGAUGACUGCCCUAUGGGUUGUAAACUUCUUUUAUAUGGGAAUAAAGUUUUCCACGUGUGGAAUUUUGUAUGUACCAUAUGAAUAAGGAUCGGCUAACUCCGUGCCAGCAGCCGCGGUAAUACGGAGGAUCCGAGCGUUAUCCGGAUUUAUUGGGUUUAAAGGGAGCGUAGGUGGACAGUUAAGUCAGUUGUGAAAGUUUGCGGCUCAACCGUAAAAUUGCAGUUGAUACUGGCUGUCUUGAGUACAGUAGAGGUGGGCGGAAUUCGUGGUGUAGCGGUGAAAUGCUUAGAUAUCACGAAGAACUCCGAUUGCGAAGGCAGCUCACUGGACUGCAACUGACACUGAUGCUCGAAAGUGUGGGUAUCAAGCAGGAUUAGAUACCCUGGUAGUCCACACAGUAAACGAUGAAUACUCGCUGUUUGCGAUAUACAGUAAGCGGCCAAGCGAAAGCAUUAAGUAUUCCACCUGGGGAGUACGCCGGCAACGGUGAAACUCAAAGGAAUUGACGGGGGCCCGCACAAGCGGAGGAACAUGUGGUUUAAUUCGAUGAUACGCGAGGAACCUUACCCGGGCUUAAAUUGCAUUUGAAUAUAUUGGAAACAGUAUAGCCGUAAGGCAAAUGUGAAGGUGCUGCAUGGUUGUCGUCAGCUCGUGCCGUGAGGUGUCGGCUUAAGUGCCAUAACGAGCGCAACCCUUAUCUUUAGUUACUAACAGGUCAUGCUGAGGACUCUAGAGAGACUGCCGUCGUAAGAUGUGAGGAAGGUGGGGAUGACGUCAAAUCAGCACGGCCCUUACGUCCGGGGCUACACACGUGUUACAAUGGGGGGUACAGAAGGCAGCUACCUGGUGACAGGAUGCUAAUCCCAAAAGCCUCUCUCAGUUCGGAUCGAAGUCUGCAACCCGACUUCGUGAAGCUGGAUUCGCUAGUAAUCGCGCAUCAGCCAUGGCGCGGUGAAUACGUUCCCGGGCCU